GGAAUCUUCGGCAAGUGGGGGCCAACCCUGACCGAGCAACGCCGCGUGAGUGAAGAAGGUUUUCGGAUCGUAAAGCUCUGUUGUAAGAGAAGAACGUGUGUGAGAGUGGAAAGUUCACACAGUGACGGUAACUUACCAGAAAGGGACGGCUAACUACGUACCAG
This 164-nucleotide ribosomal RNA is filed under the name uncultured bacterium. Its description in RNAcentral is "partial 16S rRNA". It matches the Rfam family "Bacterial small subunit ribosomal RNA", at positions 358 to 511 of the family's 1533-position model. The record is from RNAcentral.